AGUGGCGGACGGGUGAGUAACACGUGAGAAUUUACCUUUAGGAGGGGGACAACAAUUGGAAACGAUUGCUAAUACCCCAUAUGCUCUAGAGUGAAACGGAUUUUUCCGCCUAAAGAAAAGCUCGCGGCUGAUUAGCUUGUUGGUAAGGUAAUGGCUUACCAAGGCGACGAUCAGUAUCUGGUUUGAGAGGACGAUCAGACACACUGGAACUGAGACACGGUCCAGACUCCUACGGGAGGCAGCAGUGGGGAAUUUUCCGCAAUGGGCGAAAGCCUGACGGAGCAAUACCGCGUGAGGGAAGACGGCCUAUGGGUUGUAAACCUCUUUUUUCAGGGAGGAACAAAAUGACGUGUACCUGAAGAAUAAGCAUCGGCUAACUCCGUGCCAGCAGCCGCGGUAAGACGGAGGAUGCAAGUGUUAUCCGGAAUCACUGGGCGUAAAGCGUCUGUAGGUGGUUUGUUAAGUCAACUGUUAAAUCUUGAGGCUCAACUUCAAAUCAGCAGUCGAAACUAUCAGACUAGAGUAUAGUAGGGGUAAAGGGAAUUUCCAGUGGAGCGGUGAAAUGCGUAGAUAUUGGAAAGAACACCGAUGGCGAAGGCACUUUACUGGGCUAUUACUAACACUCAGAGACGAAAGCUAGGGUAGCAAAUGGGAUUAGAUACCCCAGUAGUCCUAGCUGUAAACGAUGGAUACUAGAUGUUGAACAGAUCGACCUGUGCAGUAUUAAAGCUAACGCGUUAA
This 741-nucleotide ribosomal RNA is filed under the name uncultured bacterium. RNAcentral describes it as "bacterial SSU rRNA". It matches the Rfam family "Bacterial small subunit ribosomal RNA", at positions 94 to 863 of the family's 1533-position model. The record is from RNAcentral.